This is a non-coding RNA of Danio rerio (zebrafish), 540 nucleotides long. The record is from Ensembl. NCBI's taxonomy places the organism in Eukaryota, Metazoa, Chordata, Actinopteri, Cypriniformes, Danionidae.
AGGACGUCAGCGGUUAUACGGGGUAUCCAUAUUUGCUGUCAUAUGAGAGAGCCGGCCUGUGAUCAGAGGCCAUCAUGCUGACUUCUCUCUGGACUCUGCUGCGCUCUGUGUGAGUGCUGCUCCGUCCCGAUCCCACCCGCGACAUGUUCCCCGCCGGGCCCACAGCACUGUAAUUGAGUCCCGGAUGGACGUUGUACUUCGUUACAGAGCGGAAGCUGGAGUAUCGGCUUCCUGGACGACUGUCUGGAGCGGCGGCAUCCUCCCUAAAGAUAAAGAUUAAGGUCUCCUACAUCUAUGGCAGCGAGGGUGUAUGUGCAGCCCAGAGUCAGAACCUCCCCCUGGGCUUUCUUUAUGGUCUGAGGGCCUGUUGAAGUCACCUGCACUGCUGAAGUAAGAGCUGCACACAAGAACACAAUAAUGCAUUCCCAAUACGGCUGCAUGCUAUUGGAAAAUUGUGACAUUGAAAUAUUUUGUUUUGCUGUGUUAUAGAUUAGAUUAGGAAUACCAUUUCAACAGAUGGCUUGAAUAGCUCUAUUUGUG